UGGGUAGUGGCCAAGCGGUAAGGCACAGGAUUCUGACUCCUGGAUGCGAAGGUUCGAAUCCUUCCUACCCAGCCA
Molecule: transfer RNA, 75 nt
Filed under: Defluviitaleaceae bacterium
Lineage: Bacteria; Bacillati; Bacillota; Clostridia; Lachnospirales; Defluviitaleaceae
Also listed under: 1 other name
Description: tRNA-Gln
Rfam family: tRNA
About the family: Transfer RNA (tRNA) molecules are approximately 80 nucleotides in length. Their secondary structure includes four short double-helical elements and three loops (D, anti-codon, and T loops).
Source: RNAcentral